RNAcentral lists this long non-coding RNA (443 nucleotides) under Zea mays. RNAcentral describes it as "long non-coding RNA (ZMAY_LNC004069)". Lineage: Eukaryota; Viridiplantae; Streptophyta; Magnoliopsida; Poales; Poaceae. The record is from RNAcentral.
GGGCACUCCGGUACAGCUCGAGCCUCUUUGCAAGGUUAGUUCUGCGUUCCAUGACUGCUGGGUCUUCGUCAAGAAGUUUGGAAAGCUGCUUCAUCUGCAUACCAAAUAGUAGAAUUAUAAGAUAUGACAGUUCCAUUAGACCUCUCAUAAGGCAUUCCUUCAACAAGGUGUUGAUGGCUUCCAGUGCUUGCAGCAUUGAAAUAUUUACAUAUUGGAGAUGUGGUAAAGGCUAUCAUCAGCCCACAAACAACGACCAACAAGGAAGCUACAGUAUAUCGAAUGAUCGAACAAACAAGGCAAGCGCUACAAUAUAAUGAAAUUAAAGGUAUAGUAAUACAAAGCCAUGACCAAUAAUUCCUUUCAAAUGAUGACAAAUCUCACCUCUCUUGCUCCCAGUUCAGUGAAGAAGUGAUCGAGCAGCGAGCGCUUGGCCUCUCGCACUU